GAGUAAAGUAUCGGAACGUGCCCAGUCGUGGGGGAUAACGCAGCGAAAGUUGUGCUAAUACCGCAUACGAUCUAUGGAUGAAAGCGGGGGAUCGCAAGACCUCGCGCGAUUGGAGCGGCCGAUAUCAGAUUAGCUAGUUGGUGGGGUAAAGGCUCACCAAGGCGACGAUCUGUAGCUGGUCUGAGAGGACGACCAGCCACACUGGGACUGAGACACGGCCCAGACUCCUACGGGAGGCAGCAGUGGGGAAUUUUGGACAAUGGGCGCAAGCCUGAUCCAGCAAUGCCGCGUGCAGGAUGAAGGCCUUCGGGUUGUAAACUGCUUUUGUACGGAGCGAAAAGGCUCUCUCUAAUACAGGGGGCUCAUGACGGUACCGUAAGAAUAAGCACCGGCUA
Molecule: ribosomal RNA, 395 nt
Filed under: uncultured bacterium
Lineage: Bacteria
Description: bacterial SSU rRNA
Rfam family: Bacterial small subunit ribosomal RNA
Source: RNAcentral